Molecule: RNA transcript, 2293 nt
Organism: Salarias fasciatus (jewelled blenny)
Lineage: Eukaryota; Metazoa; Chordata; Actinopteri; Blenniiformes; Blenniidae
Gene: sacm1la
Gene name: SAC1 like phosphatidylinositide phosphatase a
Exons: 19
Source: RefSeq, a predicted model, not a curated record
GCUCCCUCCUGCUGACGUCACUGAGGUCAGGUAGACUCUUCGAAGAUGGCGACCGCCUACGAGAGAUAUAAUUUGCACACGACCCCAGAGAAGUUCUACAUCGAGGCCUGCGAUGAGGGGGCCGACGCCGUGCUGGCCAUCGACCGGGUGUCCAACGAGAUGACCCUCACCGGGAAGAAGGACGUCCCCCCCUCGGCCGUCACCAAGCCCAUCUGCGGCGUCAUGGGGACCAUUCGGCUGGUGGCAGGGAUGUACCUGGUGGUCAUCACCAGGAAGAGGAACGUGGGCAGCCUGCUGGGACACGCCGUGUGGAAGGCCGUGGACUUCGACGUCAUCUCCUACAAGAAGACGGUGCUGCACCUCUCUGAGAUCCAGUCCCAGGAGAACAAGACCUUCCUGUCCAUGCUGAACAACGUGCUGAGCACCGACGGCUUCUACUUCUGCACCGACUUCGACCUGACGCACACCCUGCAGCGGCUGGCCAACACCAGCCCCGACUUCCAGGAGAUGAGCCUGCUGGAGCGGGCCGAUCAGAGGUUCGUGUGGAACGGGAACCUGCUGAGAGAACUGGCAGGACAGCCGGAGCUGCACCGCUUCGCCCUCCCUGUGGUCCAUGGGUUCAUCGUCAUGAAGCCGUGUCGGAUCAACGGGAAGAUCUUCGAGUGGAUCCUGAUUUCCAGGAGGAGCUGCUUCAGAGCUGGAGUCAGAUACUAUGUCAGAGGCAUCGACUCUGAGGGCCACGCUGCUAACUUUGUGGAGACGGAGCAGAUCGUGCUGUACGAGGGAGCCAAGGCCUCGUUUGUGCAGACGCGAGGCUCCAUGCCUUUCUACUGGAGUCAGAGGCCCAACCUGAAGUACAAACCCAAACCCAUCAUCAGCAAAACCAUGAGCCACAUGGAUGGCUUCCAGAGACACUUUGACUCCCAGCUGCUCAUCUACGGGAAGCAGACUAUCCUCAACCUGGUCAACCAGAAGGGCUCGGAGAAGCCGCUGGAGCAGGCCUUCGCCAAGAUGGUGUCUGGGAUGAACAACGGCAUGCUGAACUACAUUGCCUUCGACUUCCACAAAGAGUGCAGCCACAUGAGGUGGGAGAGGCUCCAGAUCCUGGUGGACGCUGUGACCGAGACUCAGGAUGAAUAUGGGUACUUCAUGGUGACCUCUGAGGGGAAGACGGUGUCCCAGCAGAAAGGAGUCUUCCGCAGUAACUGCAUGGACUGUCUGGACAGAACCAACGUCAUUCAGAGUCUGUUGGCCCGGCGCUCGCUACAGACCCAGCUCCAGAGAAUUGGGGUCCUCAACGUGGGCCAGCGUAUUGAGGAGCAGGCUGAGUUUGAGAAGAUCUAUAAGAACGCAUGGGCUGACAAUGCCAAUGCAUGCGCUGUACAGUACGCAGGAACAGGAGCCUUAAAAACAGACUUCACCAGGACGGGGAAGAGGACGAGGUGGGGGCUGCUGAUGGACGGCUGGAACUCCAUGAUCCGCUACUACAAGAACAACUUCUCGGACGGCUUCAGACAGGACUCCAUCGACCUGUUCCUGGGGAACUUCGCCGUGGAUGAGACGGAGGGUCCGACGCCACUGCGUGUGCAGAAGGACUGGAAGUUCCUGACUCUGCCCAUCAUCAUGCUGGUGGCCUUCUCCAUGUGCAUCGUCUGUCUCCUGAUGGCCGGCGACACCCUGACAGAGACCCUGGCCUACGUCAUGUUCUGGGGGGCUGCCAGCGCCAUCACAGCUACCAUCAUCCUCUUUAACGGCCAAGACUUUGUGGACGCCCCCAAGCUGGUUCACAAGGAGAAGCUGGACUGAGUGUGUGUGUGUGUGUGUGUGUGUGUGUGUGUGUGUCUCACUGGGUUCCUUCUGUUGGUAUAAUCAGACUCUUUCUGUCCUGAUGAUUCUGUUCAGCCCCCCAUAAAGAACAUAUCUGAACACAGUUACCUGCUGAAUUCCUCUGCAGUAUGCUCACGUUGUCACUUGUGCUUCGGAGAAGCAGAAGAAGCGGCGUGGUCCUGAAGAGGUGUGAUUACAUGAGCGGGCGUCGGGCUGACCGUCUCCUUGUUUACCUGUCCCAGAUGAUUGAGAUGACAGUAGAUCAGAGGUGUCUAACUGAUUUUAAAACAGCUGAGUAACCUUUAAAUAACAUUGUUAUCUCUGUUUCACUGCAAACAUUCUGACCAUGUAUAAACUCAGCAGGAUCGAGAGUCCACCUUUCUAAAGAAAUUAAUAGUGCUGUUUCAAUAUUCUGAUCAUUUCCAUGAUGGUUUCUGGUGUAAAAUACAGUAAAGCAUCCAACUAC